ACACUAGAAACCCAACAGGCUGGCGGAGACACAGUACUUCUCUAGAGCAGGCUGCCUUCCUAGGGAAGAACAACUUUGCAUGCCGCCCCCCCCCCUUAAACUGUAACUCUCGGUGCCCUCAGACUCGCAUACCAUUCGCGGCAACAGUGAUAGCUAGAGAUUUAAAUAAAUAAUUCAGUACUUAAAUCAGAGGCUAAACAUCGCGAUUAAUCGGAAGAUAUUGUGCUGCUAAAAUAAUCUAGCGCAAACCAACCCGGGUCUGGGCUUCUACCGCACUUUUCUUCUCGCUCCCUGCAGUUUUCCCUGCCUCUCCGAGCCCCGGUGAUGGUAAGAGGCAGUGACAAGGGGACAAACAGAGGCAAACUGGCUUUUUUCCAUGAAGUAUUACAAUAGCCUGGGUUUGCAUUCGGAAGUACAGACAUGCAUGCAACAAAACUUCCAGAUGGCAGAAAAUAGUGACAAAACUUUCUUCAGGAAAAGGGGUGUUACCCAGAAUAGGUGCCCAUAUUCCUGACUUGAGAGAAGUGAAAGCACUAGUGAUUAAUUUACCGUCUGAUGGAGCUAUUUUGUAUUGUUUUACAGAGUAAAUAAUCGCUUAAUAAUCAUUUGCUUAUUAUGACGCAUCCACAAACUAGCUUUAAGACAAUUUUUGUCUACUUAUUCCUCACUAUAUUUUAAGGUUGUAAAUAGCAAGAUGCAAUUUAACAGUCAAAUUUACUAUUCCCAUCAUCUUCCCACCCCAUUUUCUAAUGGGAAUAUACUACUUAAAAAAAAAAAAAAAACCCUAUAGCGAUCCUAAAAGGCAAAACCCAAGCGCGGAGUUACUGGAAGAAGAAACCGGGGUUAAAAAGAUUCCUCCUCUCUUCUUCAUCAUCAUCAACCAUCAUUCAUUCACUACCUUGACAUUCCCUGGCUUUGAUUGACAGCUGGAGUGGCAAAAAGCCAUGAGACACGACAGUUUGGUUACAUGUGGGUUGCUGACGGGCCGAUCGUAACCUUCAGUUUGGGGGCUUGACAAUUUUUUUUUUUUUUUUGCGUAGAGAAAGAAAAAAGGAAAAAGAGAGAGAGAAACAGAAAAAGGAAAGAGAGAAAGAGAGAGAAAAAAGAAGAAAUAUCCAGAAACUCAUCGUGGUUCUUGACUGUUUUUUAUAUAUUAUUAUUAUUGUUAUUGUUGUUAUUAUUAUUAUUAUUUACCCAUAUUGGAGGAUAGGAGAAGUCUAUAAGUGGGUUGCAAAAAAAAAAAAAGGAAUCUUCUUCACUCUAAAUCACUUUCUUUGCUGGACUGGGAUAUUAAAUAUACGACACAUCCAGGAGUUUAUUGGAGCGCAGACUGAUGGCGCAAAGGUACGAUGAGCUGCCCCACUACGGCGGGGUGGGCGGAGGAGGGGGGC
This 1391-nucleotide long non-coding RNA is filed under the name Struthio camelus australis. RNAcentral describes it as "lncRNA (ENSSCUG00000016715.1)". Lineage: Eukaryota; Metazoa; Chordata; Aves; Struthioniformes; Struthionidae. The record is from RNAcentral.